Molecule: ribosomal RNA, 253 nt
Filed under: uncultured bacterium
Lineage: Bacteria
Description: partial 16S ribosomal RNA
Rfam family: Bacterial small subunit ribosomal RNA
Source: RNAcentral
UACGGGGGGGGCAAGCGUUGUUCGGAAUUACUGGGCGUAAAGGGCUCGUAGGCGGCCAACUAAGUCGGACGUGAAAUCCCUCAGCUUAACUGGGGAACUGCGUCGGAUACUGGAUGGCUUGGAUUCGGGAGAGGGAUGCGGAAUUCCAGGUGUAGCGGUGAAAUGCGUAGAUAUCUGGAGGAACACCGGUGGCGAAGGCGGCAUCCUGGACCGAUAUUGACGCUGAGGAGCGAAAGCCAGGGGAGCAAACGGG